RNAcentral lists this ribosomal RNA (200 nucleotides) under uncultured bacterium. RNAcentral describes it as "partial 16S ribosomal RNA". It matches the Rfam family "Bacterial small subunit ribosomal RNA", at positions 30 to 230 of the family's 1533-position model. The record is from RNAcentral.
AUUGAACGCUGGCGGCAGGCCUAACACAUGCAAGUCGAGCGGUAGAGAGGUGCUUGCACCUCUUGAGAGCGGCGGACGGGUGAGUAAUGCCUAGGAAUCUGCCUGGUAGUGGGGGAUAACGCUCGGAAACAGACGCUAAUACCGCAUACGUCCUACGGGAGAAAGCAGGGGACCUUCGGGCCUUGCGCUAUCAGAUGAGC